This 452-nucleotide ribosomal RNA is filed under the name uncultured Planctomycetota bacterium. RNAcentral describes it as "bacterial SSU rRNA". It matches the Rfam family "Bacterial small subunit ribosomal RNA", at positions 384 to 826 of the family's 1533-position model. Lineage: Bacteria; Pseudomonadati; Planctomycetota. The record is from RNAcentral.
UGACGAAGCGACGCCGCGUGGGUGAGGAAGGCCUUCGGGUUGUAAAGCCCUGUCAGGAGUUAUGAAAUGUAGGUGCGCUAAUAUCGUGCUUAUUUGACAAAGGCUCCAAAGGAAGCCACGGCUAACUCUGUGCCAGCAGCCGCGGUAAUACAGAGGUGGCGAGCGUUGUUCGGAAUUAUUGGGCGUAAAGAGCACGUAGGUGGGUUUGCAAGUCAGAUGUGAAAGCCUUCUGUUCAACGGAAGAAUUGCAUCUGAAACUGCCAAUCUUGAGUGUAGGAGGGGAGAAUGGAACUUCUGGUGGAGCGGUGAAAUGCGUAGAUAUCAGAAGGAACGCCGGCGGCGAAAGCGAUUCUCUGGCCUAUUACUGACACUCAGUGUGCGAAAGCUAGGGGAGCAAACGGGAUUAGAUACCCCGGUAGUCCUAGCCGUAAACGAUGGGCACUAAGUAGAGG